This 395-nucleotide long non-coding RNA is filed under the name Sus scrofa (pig). Its description in RNAcentral is "lncRNA (ENSSSCG00070021755.1)". The record is from RNAcentral. Lineage: Eukaryota; Metazoa; Chordata; Mammalia; Artiodactyla; Suidae.
GCAGAUAAAUAUUGAGUGAUGGCUGGCAAAACCACAUCUUCCCUCUCUCACCGUGGUUACAAGAAUUUUGAAUUACUGAAUUACUGCUUUCCGUGGAGCUGACCGUUUAGCAGCUCAUAACCUGGAACAAGGAUUCUGCGUGGAAGUACAGGAGAUGCAGAAGCAGAGUCAGUCGAAGCCAAGUAAGUAGAGGGAUUCUCAGGGAGAGUGAAAAAAUAUGAACUUUUUAAUGAAUUUGUUGACUCUAAAUUGAUCAGUGCCACUUACUGGUUAUGCCUUUGUAUGUGAUGCUGUAGGGGGCCACAGGGCCUUAUCAUGACUUUUGUGACAUGAUGCCUAGUUGCCUCUGGACACCCAUCCCCCCAUCCCUUCUCCCCAGCACUCACUAUUCCAGA